AUUGAACGCUGGCGGCAGGCCUAACACAUGCAAGUCGAACGAGUGGCGGACGGGUGAGUACUGUAUCGGAAACUGCCCGAUGGAGGGGGAUAACUACUGGAAAAGGUAUCUAAUAUCGCAUACCAUCGGAUGUGCCCAGAGGGGAUUAUCGAGUAGGUGGGGUAAAGGAUCACCUAGGCGACGAUCCCUCGCUGGUCUGAGAGGAUGACCAGCCACACUGGAACUGAGAGACGGUCCAGACUCCUACGGGAGGCAGCAGUGGGGAAUAUUGCACAAUGGGCGCAAGCCUGAUGCAGCCAUGCCGCGUGUAUGAAGAAGGCCGUCGGGUUGUAAAGUACUUUCAGCGGGGAGGCGUUACUCGCAGAAGAAGCACCGGCUAACUCCGUGCCAGCAGCCGCGGUAAUAC
RNAcentral lists this ribosomal RNA (406 nucleotides) under uncultured bacterium. RNAcentral describes it as "partial 16S ribosomal RNA". It matches the Rfam family "Bacterial small subunit ribosomal RNA", at positions 30 to 526 of the family's 1533-position model. The record is from RNAcentral.